RNAcentral lists this transfer RNA (65 nucleotides) under Cosmoscarta exultans. RNAcentral describes it as "tRNA-Asn". Lineage: Eukaryota; Metazoa; Arthropoda; Insecta; Hemiptera; Cercopidae. The record is from RNAcentral.
UUAACUAAAGCCAAAACAGAGGCAAUUUAUUGUUAAUAAAGAAAUUGAACUUAGUUCUAGUUAAA